This 761-nucleotide small RNA is filed under the name Pan troglodytes (chimpanzee). RNAcentral describes it as "retained intron". Lineage: Eukaryota; Metazoa; Chordata; Mammalia; Primates; Hominidae. The record is from RNAcentral.
AUGAUUGUACCUACCAAAUUUAUAUUGAUACUAGCUUCUUCAUAAAGAUUCUCAGAAGAGGUAAUUUAAGUCUUUCUUGCAUUGUUUUUAUAGUCAUAAAAUAACCUUAACUAAUAAUAUACUUUCUCCUUUGUCUAAAUUAAAAAACCCCCCUGCUUGAAUUUAAGCCUUUCCUUUUCAUUUCAUCGUUUGAAGAUACUAUUGAUUUUGAUGGCAAAUCAUGGAAUGAAUUUUAUACCUAUGUUAGUCACUCGAAGUGUUUGGUAAUUUAGUUUACCAUAUUUUAGUCUAACAUAGAAACACAAUCUAAUAUUUUUGAAUUCUCUUUCGUUAAGGCAUUGUGUCCAGAUCUGGCACCCUGACUUAUGAAGCAGUUCACCAAACAACGCAAGUUGGAUUGGGGCAGUCUUUGUGCGUUGGCAUUGGAGGUGAUCCUUUUAAUGGAACAGAUUUUAUUGACUGCCUCGAAAUCUUUUUGAACGAUUCUGCCACAGAAGGCAUCAUAUUGAUUGGUGAAAUUGGUGGUAAUGCAGAAGAGAAUGCUGCAGAAUUUUUGAAGCAACAUAAUUCAGGUCCAAAUUCCAAGCCUGUAGUGUCCUUCAUUGCUGGUUUAACUGCUCCUCCUGGGAGAAGAAUGGGUCAUGCCGGGGCAAUUAUUGCUGGAGGAAAAGGUGGAGCUAAAGAGAAGAUCUCUGCCCUUCAGAGUGCAGGAGUUGUGGUCAGUAUGUCUCCUGCACAGCUGGGAACCACGAUCUACAAGG